This 72-nucleotide transfer RNA is filed under the name Camelus bactrianus (Bactrian camel). It matches the Rfam family "tRNA". From Rfam's summary of the family: Transfer RNA (tRNA) molecules are approximately 80 nucleotides in length. Their secondary structure includes four short double-helical elements and three loops (D, anti-codon, and T loops). Further hydrogen bonds mediate the characteristic L-shaped molecular structure. tRNAs have two regions of fundamental functional importance: the anti-codon, which is responsible for specific mRNA codon recognition, and the 3' end, to which the tRNAs corresponding amino acid is attached (by aminoacyl-tRNA synthetases). tRNAs cope with the degeneracy of the genetic code in two manners: having more than one tRNA (with a specific anti-codon) for a particular amino acid; and 'wobble' base-pairing, i.e. permitting non-standard base-pairing at the 3rd anti-codon position. RNAcentral also lists the same sequence under 2 other names. Lineage: Eukaryota; Metazoa; Chordata; Mammalia; Artiodactyla; Camelidae. The record is from Rfam by way of RNAcentral.
GAAGGUAUAGCUCAGUGGCAGAGCCUGUGCUUAGCAUGCAUGAGGUCCUGGGUUCAAUCCCCAGUCCCUCCA